RNAcentral lists this ribosomal RNA (913 nucleotides) under uncultured archaeon. RNAcentral's name for it is "bacterial SSU rRNA". It matches the Rfam family "Archaeal small subunit ribosomal RNA", at positions 1 to 922 of the family's 1478-position model. The record is from RNAcentral.
UCCGGUUGAUCCUGCCGGACCUGACUGCUAUCGGAUUGAUACUAAGCCAUGCUAGUCUUUGUAGUAAUACAAGGCAUACGGCUCAGUAACGCGUAGUCAACCUACCCUAUGGACGGGGAUAAUCUCGGGAAACUGAGCAUAAUACCCGGUAGACCACUUCUCCUGGAAUGGUUAGUGGUUAAAAUGAUUCGUCGCCAUAGGAUGGGACUGCGGCCUAUCAGCUUGUUGGUGAGGUAAUGGCCCACCAAGGCGAUUACAGGUACGGGCUCUGAGAGGAGAAGCCCGGAGAUGGGUACUGAGACAAGGACCCAGGCCCUAUGGGGCGCAGCAGGCGAGAAAACUUUGCAAUGUGCGAAAGCACGACAAGGUUAAUCCGAGUGAUUUCUGCUAAAGGAAUCUUUUGUUAGUUCUAAAAAUACUAGUGAAUAAGGGGUGGGCAAGUUCUGGUGUCAGCCGCCGCGGUAAAACCAGCACCUCAAGUGGUCAGGAGGAUUAUUGGGCCUAAAGCAUCCGUAGCCUGUUCUAUAAGUUUGCGGUUAAAUCCAUACGCUCAACGUAUGGGCUGCCGUAAAUACUGUAGAACUAGGGAGUGGGAGAGGUAGACGGUACUCGAUAGGAAGGGGUAAAAUCCUUUGAUCUAUUGAUGACCACCUGUGGCGAAGGCGGUCUACCAGAACACGUUCGACGGUGAGGGAUGAAAGCUGGGGGAGCAAACCGGAUUAGAUACCCGGGUAGUCCCAGCUGUAAACGAUGCAGACUCGAUGAUGCAAUGGCAUAGAGCUAUUGCAGUAUCGCAGGGAAGCCGUUAAGUCUGCCGCCUGGGAAGUACGUACGCAAGUAUGAAACUUAAAGGAAUUGGCGGGGGAGCACCACAAGGGGUGAAGCCUGCGGUUCAAUUGGAGUCAACGCCGGG